GAUUGCACUCAAAAUUUAAAAUAUGGGGACAAAAGGGCUUCAUUUUUGAAACCGGGAACAAAAUGAAAAUUCCCACCCCAACUUGGGGACUAAAAAGGUAUUUUAACCAAAAAAAAUACUUACAUAAAUAAAAAAAUUAAAGCACCUAAUUUUUUUUAUAAUUUUAAAUAAAAUUUUAAGAUUUAGAAUUUUUAUUGUUUGAUUUUAUUGAGAAUUUUCUUGUAUUUUGAUUUGUUUUUUCUUUAGUAAAGGGAAACAAGUUAAUGAAUUUCUACCAAAAAAAAAUUAAAUGGCCACGAAACAAUGUUACGAAGUAGUCUUAAAAGGUAAAGGAAGGAUGCUCAUAAGUCUUGGUGCAAGUUGUACCCGUCGGCUGUAAUAUAUAUAGUGAAGAUAAUGAAACUAAAGAGAUUUUGAAUAAACUUUUUUCGGAAGGUGAAUAUGUCAAUGACUCAACUCUUUACAAAAGUAAAUCGUUUAAUAAUGAGUGUUUUUUUAGUUGGGGCUAGUGCAAAGAUGACAGGGAAAAUGUUUGAGUAAGAGUGAUGAAGGAGAAAGGAUUGAGAGGAAUGAAGGAGGUGAGUAAGGGUUUGAAGUUUCUUUUUUUAGUUUUGAGAAUGAAAAUUAUUAAAAUAAGGCAAGUGUUUCUGAUUUUUUUCAAUUGGGGCUAGAGUAAGGAUAAUAGAGAAAAGGUUUGAUUAAAAGAGAUGAAAGAGAAAGGAUUGAGAAGAAUGAGAGAGGUGGGUAAGGGUUUGGGGGUUUCUUUUUUAUUUUUNUAAUUUUGAGAAUGAAAAUUAUUAAAAUACCCUUAACCUUAAAACUUAGAGUUCAUGAUAUAUAAGGGUAUUUUUGUAUACUGAAACCCGGUACACAUUGCUAAAAUGUACCAACUGAAAAACAGGCGUACACAAGUUAGCAAACCCC
This 924-nucleotide long non-coding RNA is filed under the name Vigna radiata. RNAcentral describes it as "long non-coding RNA (VRAD_LNC010270)". The record is from RNAcentral. Lineage: Eukaryota; Viridiplantae; Streptophyta; Magnoliopsida; Fabales; Fabaceae.